AUGGCAAGUAAACUAGUGGUCCUGUGCGCUAUACUACACAACAUCGCGGUAAGGAGUAGCGUAGAGCUUCCUCAGACAGAGGAAUUGCCUGAUGAGGAGCCAGGGGUUGUCCGACACUUCGGUGGGGGGAGUGUUACACGGAGGGGGAGCCAAGUCAGGGCAAGCAUUGUUGCGGAAUAUUUCAGCUGAAUGAUCACACAAACUGUGGACGACCACAACGGCAAGCAACACAUGAGGCACCAUCUCAGCCCCCUUCCCCUUCUCACUCCCCCUCCACUUCCCAGUCCCCCUCCCCUUCUCACUCCCCCUCCCCUUCCCAAUCCCCCUCAGCUUCCCAGUCCCCCUCAGCUUCCCAAUCCCCCUCUGCUUCCC
Molecule: long non-coding RNA, 372 nt
Organism: Pseudophryne corroboree (corroboree frog)
Lineage: Eukaryota; Metazoa; Chordata; Amphibia; Anura; Myobatrachidae
Exons: 3
Source: RefSeq, a predicted model, not a curated record